GGCAAGAUGGCCGAGUGGUUAUGGCGUGUGACUCAAGCGAUCCCAAUCUGCUUGCUCGACCCUUCAGUCGAGUUCUAUUUCUCAUGGGCUCUGCCCGCGGGGGUUCGAAUCCCCCUCUUGUCA
Neohortaea acidophila is the source of this 123-nucleotide non-coding RNA. NCBI's taxonomy places the organism in Eukaryota, Fungi, Ascomycota, Dothideomycetes, Mycosphaerellales, Teratosphaeriaceae. The record is from the annotation of a RefSeq genome assembly.